CUCUCCAAGGCAGAGGCAUUAUCGUCCUUGUCAGCUGGGCUAACGACUGGACAAGAAAAAUUGAGGCUCAGAGAGGUUGAGGAACUUGCCCUGGGACCUCUGGAUACCAGGAUUUGGGCCCAGGCAGCCUGACUCAAGAGCCAUGAUCCUGACUUUGGUAUUAUCCUGCCCUUCCUUCAACGUCACCCCCAAAAGGGACACUCUGGAUGCCAGCCCCAUCGUAUACCAGCACGUAACAUCAUAUCCGGCACACAGUAGGUGAUCAGCAAAUACUUAUGAAUGAACACACAGGUGCACAGAGGGCCCUUGGUGUUCCUCCAUGGCAUUUAUAUUGACUUUUUAUGUCUUCCUUCUCCAUCCACUUGAUGCUGUGGAGAACCUGUACUUCCAUUUAGAGCCCCUGAGUAAGUCCAGGACAAAGUCUCCAGGCUCUGUAUUCCAGAACACCGCCUCUCCAGUAGGGAAGACUCCGGGAGCAUCCUGUCUUCCCAGGCAGGAAUGGAGGCCAGGAGGCUUUGCCCAGACCUUGACUGUGCUAUUGCCAAGUGACCAGCUCUGGGGUCUGGCUCCUCUGCCACUUGGGAGGGGACUUGGCAGAUGGGCUUCCCUUCACCCCAGUCCCUGCUCCCCAGCCAGAGACCCUGAGUUCCAGCCCAGGGUAAUGAGGGGAAGUAACAGAUACACCUACUUUUAAUCCAAAUAAAGGAAAAAUGUUUGCCACCA
This 723-nucleotide long non-coding RNA is filed under the name Pan troglodytes (chimpanzee). Its description in RNAcentral is "long non-coding RNA NONPTRT002218". The record is from RNAcentral. Lineage: Eukaryota; Metazoa; Chordata; Mammalia; Primates; Hominidae.